GGACGAACGCUGGCGGCGUGCUUAACACAUGCAAGUCGAACGGAAAGGCCCUGCUUUUGUGGGGUGCUCGAGUGGCGAACGGGUGAGUAACACGUGAGUAACCUGCCCUUGACUUUGGGAUAACUUCAGGAAACUGGGGCUAAUACCGGAUAGGAGCUCCUGCUGCAUGGUGGGGGUUGGAAAGUUUCGGCGGUUGGAGAUGGACUCGCGGCUUAUCAGCUUGUUGGUGGGGUAGUGGCUUACCAAGGCUUUGACGGGUAGCCGGCCUGAGAGGGUGACCGGCCACAUUGGGACUGAGAUACGGCCCAGACUCCUACGGGAGGCAGCAGUGGGGAAUAUUGCACAAUGGGCGGAAGCCUGAUGCAGCAACGCCGCGUGCGGGAUGACGGCCUUCGGGUUGUAAACCGCUUUCGCCUGUGACGAAGCGUGAGUGACGGUAAUGGGUAAAGAAGCACCGGCUAACUACGUG
Molecule: ribosomal RNA, 469 nt
Filed under: uncultured bacterium
Lineage: Bacteria
Description: partial 16S ribosomal RNA
Rfam family: Bacterial small subunit ribosomal RNA
Source: RNAcentral